This 468-nucleotide ribosomal RNA is filed under the name uncultured bacterium. Its description in RNAcentral is "partial 16S ribosomal RNA". It matches the Rfam family "Bacterial small subunit ribosomal RNA", at positions 28 to 507 of the family's 1533-position model. The record is from RNAcentral.
GACGAACGCUGGCGGCGUGCUUAACACAUGCAAGUCGAACGGAAAGGCCCUGCUUUUGUGGGGUGCUCGAGUGGCGAACGGGUGAGUAACACGUGAGUAACCUGCCCUUGACUUUGGGAUAACUUCAGGAAACUGGGGCUAAUACCGGAUAGGAGCUCCUGCUGCAUGGUGGGGGUUGGAAAGUUUCGGCGGUUGGGGAUGGACUCGCGGCUUAUCAGCUUGUUGGUGGGGGAGUGGCUUACCAAGGCUUUGACGGGUAGCCGGCCUGAGAGGGUGACCGGCCACAUUGGGACUGCGGUACGGCCCAGACUCCUACGGGAGGCAGCAGUGGGGAAUAUUGCACAAUGGGCGGAAGCCUGAUGCAGAAACGCCGCGUGCGGGAUGACGGCCUUCGGGUUGUAAACCGCUUUCGCCUGUGACGAAGCGUGAGUGACGGUAAUGGGUAAAGAAGCACCGGCUAACUACGUG